AUACGGAGGAUGCAAGCGUUAUCCGGAUUUAUUGGGUUUAAAGGGUGCGUAGGCGGAUGAUUAAGCGUGAGGUGAAAUGCCACUGCUCAACAGUGGAACUGCCUCGCGAACUGGUUGUCUUGAAUGCUCCUGCCGUGGGAGGAAUGUGUGGUGUAGCGGCGAAAUGCAUAGAGAUCACACAGAACACCGAUUGCGAAGGCAUCUCACGAAGGGGUGAUUGACGCUGAGGCACGAAAGCGUGGGGAUCAGACAGGAUUAGAUACCCUGGUAGUCCACGCAGUAAACGAUGAUAACUAACCGCUGGGUCGUAGUGAUUCAGUGGCCAAGCGAAAGCGAUAAGUUAUCCACCUGGGGAGUACGACCGCAAGGUUGAAACUCAAAUGAAUUGACGGGG
RNAcentral lists this ribosomal RNA (394 nucleotides) under uncultured bacterium. RNAcentral's name for it is "partial 16S ribosomal RNA". It matches the Rfam family "Bacterial small subunit ribosomal RNA", at positions 523 to 918 of the family's 1533-position model. The record is from RNAcentral.